CAUCCAAGGAGUUUAAAAAUUCAGUUGGAUAAUUAGUGGCUUCUUCUUCGUUUGUUACACAGUCGAUAGAUUUGAAUGAAUUUAGAGUACCUACCAUUUGAUUUUGAAUUAUAAGAUUGAGGUCAUCUACAUCUUUAUUUUUAGCGUCCAAAAUUGCUCGCUCACUUAACCAUUUAGUAUUUUUGUGGUUAGCAAUGAUAUCCGGGAAUACGUUGUUGAUAAGCUCGUCUUUUGAUGAUACGAAAUUGCAAAAAUUUGGAGGAAAUGAAAUCAAACCGCUCGAUUUGUCAACAGGAACACGGCCAUUACCGAUAGUCAGCAAUUGCUUCGAGAAAUCAUCAGCAG
Molecule: long non-coding RNA, 345 nt
Filed under: Drosophila guanche
Lineage: Eukaryota; Metazoa; Arthropoda; Insecta; Diptera; Drosophilidae
Source: RNAcentral